GUUGGUGGGGUAAUGGCCUACCAAGGCUAAGACGGCUAGGGGGCGUGAGAGCGCGACCCCCCACAAUGGAACUGAGACACGGUCCAUACUCCUACGGGAGGCAGCAGUGAGGAAUAUUGCGCAAUGGGGGAAACCCUGACGCAGCAACGCCGCGUGAACGAUGAAGGCCUUCGGGUCGUAAAGUUCUUUUCUAAGGGAAGAUAGUGACGGUACCUUAGGAAUAAGUCCCGGCUAACUACGUGCCAGCAGCCGCGGUAAAACGUAGGGGGCGAGCGUUAUCCGGAUUUAUUGGGCGUAAAGCGCACGUAGGUGGCGCUGUAAGUUAGACGUGAAAGCUCUCGGCUCAACUGAGAGAGGUCGUUUAAAACUGCAGUGCUUGAGGUUAGAAGAGGAGAGCAGAAUUCCCGGUGUAGUGGUGGAAUGCGUAGAUAUCGGGAGGAAUACCAGUGGCGAAGGCGGCUCUCUAGUCUACACCUGACACUGAGGUGCGAAAGCGUGGGUAGCGAACGGGAUUAGAUACCCCGGUAGUCCACGCUGUAAACGAUGGAUACUAGGUGUAGGGGGUCAUUUAACCCCUCUGUGCCGAAGCAAACGCGUUAAGUAUCCCGCCUGGGGACUACGGCCGCAAGGUUAAAACUCAAAGGAAUUGACGGGGGCCCGCACAAGCCAGCGGAGCGUGUGGUUUAAUUCGAUGAUACGCGAAGAACCUUACCUGGGCUGAACUACGUGGUAGUAGUGAAGCGAAAGCGGAUCGACCCUUCGGGGAGCCUCGAUAGGUGCUGCAUGGCUGUCGUCAGCUCGUGUCGUGCGAUGUUGGGUUAAGUCCCGCAACGAGCGCAACCCUCGUCGCUAGUUACAAGUGUCUAGCGAGACUGCCGGUAUCAAACCGGACGAAGGUGGGGAUGACGUCAAGUCAGCAUGGUCUUUAUGUCCAGGGCUACACACACGCUACAAUGGUCGGUACAAUAGGUGCCCACACCGCGAGCUGGAGCUAAUCCUCAAAGCCGAUCUCAGUUCGGAUUGUAGUCUGCAACUCGACUACAUGAAG
Molecule: ribosomal RNA, 1048 nt
Filed under: uncultured organism
Description: bacterial SSU rRNA
Rfam family: Bacterial small subunit ribosomal RNA
Source: RNAcentral